Molecule: long non-coding RNA, 393 nt
Organism: Alligator sinensis (Chinese alligator)
Lineage: Eukaryota; Metazoa; Chordata; Crocodylia; Alligatoridae
Exons: 3
Source: RefSeq, a predicted model, not a curated record
AUAAUGAGAAAGAAAUAAUGAUCAUAUUUCUUGAUUAAUUUGGUUCAGUUCUCAUCAUCUCUGUCUAUGUACCCCACUCCACUCCAAGCACAUACACAUUCCUAAGAAGACCUACUAGGUACGAGAGCCUCCAGCACAGUGACCCAAGCCCUGGACCACAGCCAUCACUACUUCUCACACCAGGACAGGGGCCUCUACAUUUGGAUAGUUCCCAGCACGCACACUGUAUAGUCAGAAUCUAAGAAUCAAACACAACACAACAGAAAAGCCUUCAAGUACUGAAGAUGGCUAUUGGAAAAAGAAGGUGGACUAGUACAUCAUCAUAGUUUAUUAGCAGAAAAUACAUCAUCAUAAUUUAUCAGUAGAAAGUUGCUGCAGAGAUCUAUGUUCUCA